UACGUAGGGAGCAAGCGUUGUCCGGAAUCAUUGGGCGUAAAGCGCGCGUAGGCGGCCCCGUAAGUCCGCUGUGAAAGUCAAAGGCUCAACCUUUGAAAGCCGGUGGAUACUGUGGGGCUAGAGUCCGGAAGAGGCGAGUGGAAUUCCUGGUGUAGCGGUGGAAUGCGCAGAUAUCGGGAGGAACACCAGUGGCGAAGGCGACUUCCUGGCCUGUUCUUGACGCUGAGGCGCGAAAGCUAGUGUAGCAAACGGG
Molecule: ribosomal RNA, 253 nt
Filed under: uncultured bacterium
Lineage: Bacteria
Description: partial 16S ribosomal RNA
Rfam family: Bacterial small subunit ribosomal RNA
Source: RNAcentral